This 506-nucleotide ribosomal RNA is filed under the name uncultured bacterium. RNAcentral describes it as "partial 16S ribosomal RNA". It matches the Rfam family "Bacterial small subunit ribosomal RNA", at positions 29 to 523 of the family's 1533-position model. The record is from RNAcentral.
AGUGAACGCUGGCGGUAGGCCUAACACAUGCAAGUCGAACGGCAGCACAGGAGAGCUUGCUCUCUGGGUGGCGAGUGGCGGACGGGUGAGGAAUACAUCGGAAUCUACUCUGUCGUGGGGGAUAACGUAGGGAAACUUACGCUAAUACCGCAUACGACCUACGGGUGAAAGCAGGGGACCUUCGGGCCUUGCGCGAUUGAAUGAGCCGAUGCCGGAUUAGCUAGUUGGCGGGGUAAAGGCCCACCAAGGCGACGAUCCGUAGCUGGUCUGAGAGGAUGAGCGGCCACACGGGAACUGAGACACGGUCCAGACUCCUACGGGAGGCAGCAGUGGGGAAUAUUGGACGAUGGGCGCAAGCCUGAUCCAGCCAUACCGCGUGGGUGAAGAAGGCCUUCGGGAUGUAAAGCCCUUUUGUUGGGAAAGAAAUCCAGCUGGCUAAUACCCGGUUGGGAUGACGGUACCCAAAGAAUAAGCACCGGCUAACUUCGUGCCAGCAGCCGCGGUAA